GCUAUCAAAGUGUCUCUGGAGUUCAUUGGAGUGCAUCGUACUUGACUUGGUUUGCUAUACAACGCAUGAUAAAUAGCGUUCCAUUCGCCCAUUCCAACCGCCACCCCCAGUUAAAGUACAUCAUUGAUGUGAUACACAUUGAUCUGACGCCAGUGCAAUGCUGCGACGACGUAAUAGGGUUUUUGUUUUGCUCUUGGGCUCCCCCUACUGUUCAGAUGUGUCACUGCCCAUAAAGUUUGUGCAGUGUUGAAGGAAAAAAACAAGUGGGGAAAAAAAGGAUAAAAUAAUAUUAAAACUUAAUAAACGUGAUAAAAUAGGAGUGGCUUGUUAGUUAUAAAUAUGAAUCAGUGGUUAUAUUAAAUAAAACAAAUACUUUGAAUAAAUAUGAAUAAUACAAAUUUUGUCUGAAUCAUACAAUUUAUAAGUUAUUUUUGCGUAUAAAUUGAGCAACACUUAUGACUUAACCAUUUGGGUACUUUUUCUUUCAUUGGCGGAAACAUGCUUCCAUAAAUAUCUUUUUAGUGAUAAGCAAAUUCAAUGUUUCCUAAUAUUGUUGAAUUAUUUAUGAUUUUUGUCUUUAAUUUCCUUCUUUCUUUCUUUCUUCCUUGAGGGUUAGUAGCAUUAAAAACAUUGACGCCUUUGUCCAAAAGUAAUAUUUAUUUUGCACCAAAAUAAAUGAUAUUGGUACAAAUAAAUCCCAGUUACAACAGUGGCAGUGCAUCUCAAUACAAAAGUAAGGCUUAAAAAAGUAAAACAGAUGAAAACCGGAGGCAAAAUAUCAUCAACAGAUCAACAAGACGUUUAACAGCACAGUUUUAAGUUUGGGAGGUGGGGGAAGGACGAUAAACCCACAACAAUGCUUCAUGUGAUACACAACUAAAAACAACACAAAUAUACCCACCCUUUACCAUGGCAUCCAUUCAUUCAUUUUCUUAAAGACAUAAAUAUCCGUGAAAGAACCUUUAAAGCGCAAAUGGAUUUUAUUGAUAAAAGGACAUGCAACACGUACAAAAUAAAAAUAAAAAAAACAUAGGACACUAACACACCAUUAAAACAGUUUCAAUUAAUACAGACCCAUUUUCUCUCAAAAUCAAAAUAUGUACAUAGCAGAUCUGGCAGGGUGCUUGCAUCCAAACUAAAUUCAUCUCCAAGUGUGUGAUCAUUUCAAAUCAGAGCGAUAAAAAAACAUUUCAAGUCAAGUCUUCCACCCAGUGACUGCUGCUAGAGGAUGAGCUCGCACGAAAUGCACUUUUAAAAACACAUUUCAUAUCACGGCUGAACGGAAGAAAGCGCUUUCACGACAACAGACAUCCAUGCUCAACACCGACCCCGACGUACGGCGAGCCAUUUACAGCAAGUACGAGCGCCGCUGUGACACCGAACGAUGACGCCUUCCGGCAUGCUUCUGUGUCGUUUUUGAGCUGCGUCUACGGUACUUUGCAAAGACCGCCUGUUCCGCCUGAGCCAGGAAGCACACAGCUCUGUGAACAACUGUUCAUUCUGAAAAGUGCAAACUACUAUUGACCAGUCCAAAGAAGAGAGGACAAAAACACACUAGGAGCAAUAGCCAAACAUUCACCCUCAAAUAUGUAAAAAAUUAAAUAUGCAAAUACUAUCCAUCCGCCUUGUGCAAACUUGUGUGUAUUCACUCGGCUCAAUUUUGACUGAUUGGUUGGCAUAUGGCUUCAACUCUUAAAAGGCUCUUUGUUUCCCUUUUCACCAUACAAAGCCCCGCCAAUGUUUCUUAUCCGCAGUGGAAAAAAAGGUAAAGGUCUGCGUUUUAAAAACAGCUUUUAGUGUGUGAUGGUGACAAAAUGUUGGAUUUCCUCGAGGCCACAUGUACACGUGUACAUUUUAAAUAAAGCGGAAUUAUUCAAUACAUCGUGUAGCGCGACUAGCUUUGCUUUGGGCUCACACUUUGCUUUGGCUGGGCUUUCGAUGCUUUUGCAGAGGCGGAGGAGGAAGAGGAAGAAGAGGUCGACGACGACGAAGACGAACUCCAUCGGGUCUCCACGCCGGUAGCGUUCACAAAGGUGCGCACGGUGGGCCCGCUGGACUCCAGCACGUCUGGAGUGCACAGUGGCGUAGUGGACAUGGACGCCCCGCCCUGCAGCCAGCUGUUCUCUUUCAGAUCAGAGAGCUUGAGUCGCCGCUCCGGAUCCACGCUCUUUUGCGUCCUCCGACACGCCCUUCCACGGCUCCCCAUCCAAGGAAAAAUCUCCUUCUUUGAUCUUCUGCAUGAUGUCGGCAGCAUAUGAGGACGUCAUCCCCACCUGCUCGCACUGGAAGGGCACCUGGCCUGACAGCAUGGUGUACUGGUGGAACGCACAGAUGGACAUUAGGAGCUUGGCUGUCAUGACAGAUGUUCCACCAUGAGCAAUAUUCGACUUGCCAGAAUGACCCCGAGACUCCAGAGGUCGCAGGCUUUGUCGUAGCCGGCGCUCUCAAAGAGUUCCGGUGCCGCGUACUGCAGCGUGAAGCAGGGAGUCUGCAGGGGGGCGCUGCCUGCAGGACACAGGCGGGCAAAUCCAAAAUCUAUCACUUUCAGCACCGAGUCCUCUCCCUCGUCCGUGAACAGCACAUU
Molecule: non-coding RNA, 2584 nt
Organism: Doryrhamphus excisus (bluestripe pipefish)
Lineage: Eukaryota; Metazoa; Chordata; Actinopteri; Syngnathiformes; Syngnathidae
Source: RefSeq, a predicted model, not a curated record